UCCGGUGUGGUGUAGCGGUAACAUUGUUGACUCUCAUAUCCCUGCCUUUACAACGCAGAUCUGUUCGCUCAAUAGCCCGGGGUUCGAUUCCCCGCUCCGGAA
This is a non-coding RNA of Podospora appendiculata, 102 nucleotides long. The record is from the annotation of a GenBank genome assembly. NCBI's taxonomy places the organism in Eukaryota, Fungi, Ascomycota, Sordariomycetes, Sordariales, Podosporaceae.